AAAUAUGAGUCAUCGAAAAUUGUGUUGGUCGCGGCACUAAAAGCACGAGGAGACCUCCACGGAAGCCCCUCAUGUCCCCUCAGUGAUUCGCAGUAAUUUGUAAAUUGCGUAUGAAAUAAACAUUCCGUAUGCUCUAUGCUAUGCAAUGUUUAUAGAGAGAAACAAUAAGAUUUCGUGUGACGGCUGGUAUGGCGUAAAUUGUCUUUCAAGUAUCAAACGUGUGCAACAAGUGAGCUUCACCAGGAAUAUUCCAAACACUAAUAAGAUCUGUUACUAUUGCAAAUUGAACUGAAAUGAAUUGUUCAUUGUUGACCACCCGAAGGAUGAUCGCGAUGGAAUUUUUUAACUUCAACUUGAUAUUUGCCUUGGAGCAGUGCUCCGUUUUUUCUUUAUUUCUUCAUUCAAUUCCAUUGAUAUGUGUAUAUUUGUGUUGAUUAUAGUAACUCCCUUUUGGCGCACCAACUUAAAGACAUGUUGGUUAAGUUCUUGGAAACAUUUGCAGAAUGAUCGCUGAAAGGUGAUCAAGCGUAAUUAGCUGCAACAUGUCGUUUUAAUAUGAACCACAUACAUCAAGAACGCGAGAUUUUCUUCCUGCAAGUGGAACACUGAACUGACGUUGUGAUGGUUUCUUUGCUGGAGGACUCCUUCGCCCAUGUCACAAUUUCACCGAUCACGCAAUCAUUUCGAGGCCCAAAAUCGCAAAAUACUUGGAUAUUGCGUUGGAUCAAAAAGGAAUACAGUCUAUAGCUAAAUUAUAAAUCUCUUUUUAAUAUCGUAUUACAUUGAUUGAGAUAAUGAGUUUCAGUGAAUUUGGUUAAAGAACGAUGUUACGGUUGUAUUCAGUGAAUGGUAUCUAGGACAUAUCCAAUUUACCGCAAAAAAACUAUUUAUAUGGAAGCUAUAUGCGAAAACGGUUGAAUCCGAACAUUAAGCUUUUUACAUCAGGAAACCCUAAUUCUAGCAGGUUUACCAUUUUUCGUCUUCUUAACACCGAUAAAAAUACAUUGUAUUCUCCCUGUUUAAAGUUCUAGCAAUUGCUGAAAUAAACUGAAAUAUAUCAAUAAUAUCAUGCAAUAAUAUCAACUCUAAUGGAACAUAAUGCUUAAAACAGAUCACUAUAAUUCAAUUUAGUUGAAUCCCAAAAAGCGAAAUUCUAGCAGUUCAUAAAUCUUUAUCUUAGGAAAUUUCUAAUAUUUUGAAUUGAUAAAAAUCAUUACUUUUUCAAUAGUAUUAGAAAUUUAGAAAGCGCCAAAUGUACCAAAAGUUAGGUUUCCCGAUGAGAAAAUUGGUUUUAAAAUCAAUUUUAACUAUGACAAGACAUGCAAUAGCGCACCUUUAAAUUUGUUUCCACAUUUUUUUUGGAAUUGCCCUACUCCAAAGAUGACCGGAAAUACUCUCUUCUCUUGUAGUAUUCUACAAAUGAAAUAUUCUCCAAUUUUCUGACAAUUUCACUAGUGAAUAAACGUAAAUACAACUGCUAGAAUACUUCUUUUAUACCGAUGCAAAUAGGAUCUUUUGUAGUUUCGAUAUUAAUUUGUUUUAUAAAGAAAUCAUUUUGUGGAUGUAUAACAAUUUAAAAUAUUAAAGCUUCUGAUUUAAUUUAAUAAACAUUUCAAUAGUCAUUAGGGAAUGAUACGAUUAGUUUUAAGAGUGCUAGAAAAAUUGCUCAAUAUGGAAUGAAUAAGGGAGUUAAUAUACAAUGUAUUGCUUGCGUGCUUUAUUCUAAUUACAAUCGUCUAUUCUAACGAGUUAUUACAUAUCGUAGGUAUUUUAAUGACAUUUUUUUUAAAGCAAGUGGUGAAACGAGCUUAUACGUAUACAUAAUUUAUUAAAAGGUGUUUUUCAACUAGGUACUUAAAAAUUCUAGGAAAAUCUCCAAGUUCCAAGAUAUAUUGGAUUAGUGUUUUAAAGCAACCCUACAAAAUUUUAUUUUAAUCUGCCAGGGAUUUCGAAAUUGAAAAGAUCAAGAAAAUUUAAAGUAGAGAAAUAUUCUUACUAGUCCUGAGCCCUGACCCUCUUUCUAGCAGUUUAAGGCCAGACCGCAACGAAAACUUACGUUUAUUUUAUCACUAUGUAUUCCUAUGCAUUAGGAAUAAGUAGUAUUGGAAUUCUAGUGAAAAAAAAUAACAAAUACUUUUUUUUCGUAAAGAUAUAUUGCAUGAGACAAUUAAUAUUGACAGUGAGUCAAAAUUAACCGUCUAGACUUACGUAUCCGGUUUUGAAAACAUACUUACAAAAUGAAUGUUAUUGUGUGGACGUUAUUAAUUUCGGUACUUUUCUUCAAAAGCAAUAAAGAUUACACUCUCUGCAAGAUUUGUCAAAAUAGGAAAGGAAACAUAAUUUCAUGAUCAUGAAAACUGCUAGAAUUAGGGUUGCCUGAGUAAAUAUUAUUUUACAUUUGAAUUGCUUAUGAAUUUUAGAUAUUUUGCAUAUUUUGUUGUGAAUGUUAUAUUCUAUUUUCGAGUGAUAUCAGUUUCGUAUCAUCUCUGUAUUUUCGUCAUAGUGGGUUUCCAAAAUUCCCCCGCGAUUGAAUGAUGCAACCACUGUCUGUUGUUCAGUCAUUCCAAAAUUUUCAAAGAAAAAAAUAAAUUAAUUUGGCAAAAAUAGCACGAAAAAUCUGCAAGGAAAAUCACCCGCAUCAUUGGGAAAAAUGUCGCUUGAGGCCACUCGUGAUUGUGCGGCUUUUCUCCCGGGGAAACGGCCUUGGUGUGUGCUUAACGAUGAUUAAAAGUCGCCGAUGACGUCUCAAGCUGCGUCGACACUUGGCGGAAAAUCUACUUCGCAUUAGGAGCUUUUUGAUAACGUGUAGCUUCUGGCGGCACCAAAAUUUUCGGGUCAUUCAGUUUUUUUGCGACUGGCGAAAGAGAGAGUUGGCAGAUUGUUUUACUCCCAAAAAAGAAAAACAAAAUUAUAAAUUGAGAAAGAAAAAAAUCUUAAACUGCGUUUUUGGACUUGUUUUGGGUGUUGUGCUUCUUUUGCACCCCGAGGACUUUCUUAUUACUUAUUAAUUUUGGCCCGACAAGUGCGUGAGUUUCACUGGUGAAUUUUCUCUUAAAGAGAGUUGAAGGUACAAAGUGACUUUUCUUGGAGUGAUCUUGAACGAAAAAAAAACAAUAAUUUGAAGUGUAACUGAAAGGUGCGAAAGCAGUUGAAUUUUCACGUAAGUCCAAUACGUCUUUUACUCAUGAUGAAAUAUAAAUAAGUGUUUUCCCUCCAACUUCGGCAUUUUCCGGUGUUAAAGAUUAUUCAAACAUACAUUGAUGCUUUUUUUGAGAACUACUCGAGCAUACAGAGAAAACUGCGUGGAGAAUUCACUCUUCUUGGGUGUGUUAAUCGCGGCAUUUUUUUUCAUAAGAAUGUGUGUUGAGAACACAAAUACGACGGGAAAAUGUGGCGAUAGAAAAGCGCGAUCUGCGGCACUAAAAGUGCGCAUUUAUGGUUGGAAUUAAGACUCCGUUAUAUACAAAUACGAAUGUGAAUGAUCAUGAAAAUAAUACGCGAUAAAAUAUUGAAGAUGGGAAAAAGAAAAUUGCCACGAUACGCCGCAGUUCCUGGUGGUUCUACAUGAUGUUGGCGAUUUCUUUGACCGAUCGUUGGUGGCUCUGAGGCCGAUGGGUAGCUUCUAAAGCUUAGAAGAAACGGUUCUCAACCAGAGUCCAUAUGAGUUGAUCACAAUCAAGGUAUAUAUUUGUCGUUUUUGCCUCAAACAUACCCAAGGAGCAUCUCUUUUUCUUUGUCAGUCUUGUCGGUCUUGCCGGUCUUUCGCUGUUACAGGGGCAUUACUCAUUACCGCAUGAAGGAUUCAAUUCGUCUCAAAUAAUUACCUAACGCCGGUGCCUGGGCAAAAACUAUUUAUUUCUCUUCUAUUUAUUUGAGCACAAUUAUAAACAUCGAGAUUUAGUCGUUUUUAACAUUCUGUUUCACAAAAGUAGCAAAAGUAAAUCAUUAUUGCGCCUCUUUGCUUCAAACUAAUUGCUCAAGUAAGCAUAAAUGAGCAAUAUUUUGCAAAACAUUUACAACAAAAUAAUUACUUGAUCAUAUUUUCUAAAAUUUUGUUAAAUUGCCUUCUUAAGUGGGUAAGAUCUCAAAAUCGUAAUAUAAACACAAGUAACCUUCAAAUGACCUUCCUAAUUUUAUAUAUCCAUAAAUUUGUUUCACUAUAAUUAUCUUUAUUUUUCCAUUCUAAGAUAUAAUAGAAUAUUUUAGAAUUGGACCUUAAUUGGAAUUUAGUGAUUUCCUUACUGUUUUAAAUACGGUAAAAAAUACUAAUAGGUUUUCUUGAUUGUAGGGGCUUGUAGAUUCUUAAAUGCACAGGGGCAACUUAAAGAACAAAAAGAUCUUAAUAGCUCUAGCACACCUUUUAGAUCAAGAAAAUUGUAUUAAAACGAAAUUCAUAUACUUUUCCCACUCAAAUUGUUUGCAUAAGUGUAUCUUACUCUUUCGCACUCUUCUUCUUCUUUUAAACAUCACACCAAUAUUUAAUUUAGUUUAGUCCAAUUUUAAGACCGAAAGAGUAGGAUAGACUGAUGCAAAUCUUUUGAGGAAGAGAAGUGAAUUUUGACUUUAUAAAAUUUUCCUGAUCUAAAAGAUGUGCCGGACCCAAAAAGUUCCAAUUUGCUUUCAAUUCCAAAUUGGACCAUUACAUCCUGAGUAGAAGUUCCUCCAAAAAUAUCGCUCUUUAUGAAAUUAUUGAAGUUAAACCAUGGAUCGUUAUAUUUGGUGAAAAACGGUCAAAACGAGUUGAAGGUACAUAGAGUACUAUGAUAUUCAGUUUUCUGAUAUUAAGGUGACAGCUGUCAAAUACACGGGAAAGUCAAAAAAAAUGUCCCUUCUCUUAUGGGUUUAUAUCCAUUUCCUAUGUUUUCCAUAUGUUUCUAGCGAGCCAAAAAAACUUUUGAGUUUAUUAGGUGUUUUCUGUCAUUGUAGAAUGAAUUUGCAAAAAAUACUAAUACAAAAUAAAAGCCAAUUUAAUAACGAAGAGGCAACCUAAAACCCUAAAUUGGCAACCUACGUAGUUUUGGCGAUAUCUCGUGAAAUGUGUACGAAAACAGGGGAAAAA
Phlebotomus papatasi is the source of this 5059-nucleotide long non-coding RNA. RefSeq lists it as uncharacterized. Lineage: Eukaryota; Metazoa; Arthropoda; Insecta; Diptera; Psychodidae. The transcript is spliced from 2 exons. The record is from RefSeq and is a predicted model, not a curated record.